UACGUAGGGGGCAAGCGUUAUCCGGAUUCACUGGGUGUAAAGGGAGCGUAGACGGCGACGCAAGUCUGGAGUGAAAGCCCGGGGCCCAACCCCGGGACUGCUCUGGAAACUGCGGCGCUGGAGUACGGGAGGGGCAGGCGGAAUUCCUGGUGUAGCGGUGAAAUGCGUAGAUAUCAGGAGGAACACCAGUGGCGAAGGCGAUUCUCUGGACUGUAACUGACGCUGAGGCUUGAAAGCGUGGGGAGCAAACAGG
Molecule: ribosomal RNA, 253 nt
Filed under: uncultured bacterium
Lineage: Bacteria
Description: partial 16S ribosomal RNA
Rfam family: Bacterial small subunit ribosomal RNA
Source: RNAcentral